Dioscorea cayenensis subsp. rotundata (Guinea yam) is the source of this 380-nucleotide long non-coding RNA. RefSeq lists it as uncharacterized. Lineage: Eukaryota; Viridiplantae; Streptophyta; Magnoliopsida; Dioscoreales; Dioscoreaceae. The record is from RefSeq and is a predicted model, not a curated record. The transcript is spliced from 2 exons.
UUGAUUUAAGCUGAAAUAAUUAAAAGCAAUCUUUCUUCUUCAAAGAAUUCUUCUUCUUCUUCUUCAAAUCAACCUAACUUUCUCUGGAAGCUUUUGGUGGUUGAAGAAGGCAUCGGCUCAAUUUUCUUUGUGGAAGUUCGGUGACUAAAGAAGCAACCUCUCCACCGGUAGCUCAUCGAUGAGUUUAGAGGUGGCGAGUAAGCUUAGGAUCGGGGUGUGCUUGGGUUUAUUUUCUGUAGUUGUCUUUUUUUUAAUAAUUGAACGUUGAGGUUGUAUACCUCGUAGUUUGUUGUCUAUUUGAGUGAGUCUUGUAAUCUAUUGUAUUCUGGAUUUAAACUAUUAAGUGUGGCAUAUUGUGUUUCCGUAGGGUUGUUAAAGCA